RNAcentral lists this long non-coding RNA (220 nucleotides) under Mytilus galloprovincialis (Mediterranean mussel). Lineage: Eukaryota; Metazoa; Mollusca; Bivalvia; Mytilida; Mytilidae. The record is from RNAcentral.
CCUUUAGUGCUCUGUUCACCUUUCAGUACAUUCGUCUCAAAUCGGCCGAUUCCGUACCCUCAUGGAGAGUAGCGGAUUCUAACGAGGAUUGCCGAAUGUUUUCGAAAGUAUCAGGAAGGAAUGGCUAUCAAAUAGUUGCAUGGAGUACUAUUUUUGUUAUUGUAUAAUAACAUAAUAUCCAGGAAACAAAAUGUCAAUUACUAAUGUCGGUCCAUUUAUG